This 249-nucleotide ribosomal RNA is filed under the name uncultured bacterium. Its description in RNAcentral is "partial 16S ribosomal RNA". It matches the Rfam family "Bacterial small subunit ribosomal RNA", at positions 355 to 597 of the family's 1533-position model. The record is from RNAcentral.
UAGGGAAUCUUCCACAAUGGACGCAAGUCUGAUGGAGCAACGCCGCGUGAGUGAAGAAGGUUUUCGGACCGUAAAGCUCUGUUGUUGGUGAAGAAGGAUAGGGGUAGUAACUGGCCUUUAUUUGACGGUAAUCAACCAGAAAGUCACGGCUAACUACGUGCCAGCAGCCGCGGUAAUACGUAGGUGGCAAGCGUUGUCCGGAUUUAUUGGGCGUAAAGCGAGCGCAGCGGAAGAAUAAGUCUGAUGUGA